AUACAUGCUACAAGCCCUGACUUCGGAAGGGGCGUAUUUAUUAGAUUAAAAACCAAUGCCCUCUGGGCUCCUUGGUGAAUCAUGAUAACUUCACGAAUCGCACGGCCCUUGCGCCGGCGAUGGCUCAUUCAAAUUUCUUCCCUAUCAACUUUCGAUGUUUGGGUAGUGGCCAAACAUGGUUGCAACGGGUAACGGAGGGUUAGGGCUCGACCCCGGAGAAGGAGCCUGAGAAACGGCUACUACAUCCAAGGAAGGCAGCAGGCGCGCAAAUUACCCAAUCCCGAUUCGGGGAGGUAGUGACAAUAAAUACUGAUACAGGGCUCUUUCGGGUCUUGUAAUCGGAAUGAGUACAAUUUAAAUCCCUUAACGAGGAACAAUUGGAGGGCAAGUCUGGUGCCAGCAGCCGCGGUAAUUCCAGCUCCAAUAGCGUAUAUUAAAGUUGUUGUGGUUAAAAAGCUCGUAGUUGAACCUUGGGCCUGGCUGGCCGGUCCGCCUCACCGCGUGUACUGGUCCGGCCGGGCCUUUCCCUCUGUGGAACCUCAUGCCCUUCACUGGGUGUGCUGGGGAAACAGGACUUUUACUUUGAAAAAAUUAGAGUGCUCCAGGCAGGCCUAUGCUCGAAUACAUUAGCAUGGAAUAAUAAAAUAGGACGUGCGGUUCUAUUUUGUUGGUUUCUAGGACCGCCGUAAUGAUUAAUAGGGACAGUCGGGGGCAUCAGUAUUCAAUUGUCAGAGGUGAAAUUCUUGGAUUUAUUGAAGACUAACUACUGCGAAAGCAUUUGCCAAGGAUGUUUUCAUUAAUCAGGAACGAAAGUUAGGGGAUCGAAAACGAUCAGAUACCGUUGUAGUCUUAACCAUAAACUAUGCCGACUAGGGAUCGGACGAUGUUAUUUUUUGACUCGUUCGGCACCUUACGAGAAAUCA
Molecule: ribosomal RNA, 923 nt
Filed under: Stachybotrys levisporus
Lineage: Eukaryota; Fungi; Ascomycota; Sordariomycetes; Hypocreales; Stachybotryaceae
Description: SSU rRNA
Rfam family: Eukaryotic small subunit ribosomal RNA
Source: RNAcentral